GUGCUUGCUUUGCCAGCACAUAUACUGAAAUUGGAACCAUACUGACAAGAUUAGCAUGGCCCCUGCGCAAGGAUAACAGCUGGAUGCUGAAAGGAAAAGAGGAGCUUU
This is a small nuclear RNA of Callithrix jacchus (white-tufted-ear marmoset), 108 nucleotides long. NCBI's taxonomy places the organism in Eukaryota, Metazoa, Chordata, Mammalia, Primates, Cebidae. The record is from Ensembl.